This 407-nucleotide ribosomal RNA is filed under the name uncultured bacterium. Its description in RNAcentral is "bacterial SSU rRNA". It matches the Rfam family "Bacterial small subunit ribosomal RNA", at positions 976 to 1381 of the family's 1533-position model. The record is from RNAcentral.
UGGGCUUGAAGUGCAGUGGCACGGUCUGUGAAAGCGGAUCUUUCCUUCGGGACUGCUGUAGAGGUGCUGCAUGGCUGUCGUCAGCUCGUGUCGUGAGAUGUUGGGUUAAGUCCCGCAACGAGCGCAACCCUUGCCUCUAGUUGCCAGCGCGUUAUGGCGGGAACUUUAGAGGGACUGCCGGUGACAAACCGGAGGAAGGUGGGGAUGACGUCAAGUCCUCAUGGCCCUUACGUCCAGGGCUACACACGUGCUACAAUGGCUGGUACAAAGGGUUGCCAACCCGCGAGGGGGAGCUAAUCCCAAAAAACCAGUCUUAGUUCGGAUUGGAGUCUGCAAUUCGACUCCAUGAAGCUGGAAUCGCUAGUAAUCGUGGAUCAGCACGCCACGGUGAAUACGUUCCCGGGCCU